Molecule: long non-coding RNA, 600 nt
Filed under: Phoenix dactylifera (date palm)
Lineage: Eukaryota; Viridiplantae; Streptophyta; Magnoliopsida; Arecales; Arecaceae
Description: long non-coding RNA (PDAC_LNC020336)
Source: RNAcentral
UUUGAUGUGUCUGUCUUGGAUGGAGGUACGAGGGGCGACGCGAGUUUUGUUAUUCGAGACCUAUCUGCCAAGGUCGUGGCUGCAGAGGCAGUCAACUCUUCAAUAUAUCGGUUUCGGGUGCGGAGCUGAGGGCCGCGUGGGCGGGCCUUCGUCACACCCGGUAUGUUUUAAGGGCCAGUUCCAUUGUCCUAAAGGGGGACUCGGCCACGGUCAUCAGUUGGAUCCGGGGGAGCCCUAGAGGUAAUGGUUGUGUCCACCUAUAAUAACCCCAAAUUUUUUUUAUAUAACAAGGGAUAGAAUAGUCCUUUAAAAAUGAUAUAAGGGGUAAAAUUGGAAGAAAUCAAAAAAAUAAUGGCAUAGUUGUAGAUACGUUGAAGUGGUAAGGGUAAAAUUGGAAAAGAAUCAAAAGUUAAUGGCAUAACAGUAAAUAUGUUGAAGUGUUAGGGGCAAAAUGGAAAUUUAAUAAUAUUAAAGAAAGGGUGAAUAGUAUCUUGAUGUGAUUUAAUUGGAGGGUUUGAGCUGGCUCACGGGAGUGAAACAGAGAGGAAAGGGGGAGGGUUCUCAGACGACACAGAGAGAAAGAAAAAGAGAAGAAGAAGA